RNAcentral lists this ribosomal RNA (253 nucleotides) under uncultured bacterium. RNAcentral describes it as "partial 16S ribosomal RNA". It matches the Rfam family "Bacterial small subunit ribosomal RNA", at positions 524 to 776 of the family's 1533-position model. The record is from RNAcentral.
UACAGAGGGGGCAAGCGUUAUUCGGAAUUAUUGGGCGUAAAGGGCGCGUAGGCGGCCUGGCAAGUGGAAGGUGAAAUCCCUCGGCUUAACCGAGGAACUGCCCUCCAAACUGCUUGGCUUGAGUCCGGGAGAGGUGAGUGGAAUUCCCAGUGUAGCGGUGAAAUGCGCAGAUAUCGGGAGGAACACCAGUGGCGAAGGCGGCACUCUGGGCCGGAACUGGCGCUGAGGAGCGAAAGCGUGGGUAGCAAACAUG